Molecule: ribosomal RNA, 450 nt
Filed under: uncultured bacterium
Lineage: Bacteria
Description: partial 16S ribosomal RNA
Rfam family: Bacterial small subunit ribosomal RNA
Source: RNAcentral
GUGGGGAAUAUUGGACAAUGGGCGCAAGCCUGAUCCAGCCAUGCCGCGUGUGUGAAGAAGGCCUUCGGGUUGUAAAGCACUUUUGUUGGGGAAGAAAACCUGUUGGUUAAUACCCGAUGGGAAUGACGGUACCCAAAGAAUAAGCACCGGCUAACUUCGUGCCAGCAGCCGCGGUAAUACGAAGGGUGCAAGCGUUACUCGGAAUUACUGGGCGUAAAGCGUGCGUAGGUGGUUCGUUAAGUCUGCCGUGAAAGCCCCGGGCUCAACCUGGGAAUUGCGGUGGAUACUGGCGGACUAGAGUGCGGUAGAGGGUGGUGGAAUUCCCGGUGUAGCAGUGAAAUGCGUAGAGAUCGGGAGGAACAUCUGUGGCGAAGGCGGCCACCUGGACCAGCACUGACACUGAGGCACGAAAGCGUGGGGAGCAAACAGGAUUAGAAACCCCAGUAGUCC